AACGUAGGUCCCGAGCGUUAUCCGGAUUUACUGGGCGUAAAGCGUGUUCAGGCGGCCUGGCAAGUCGGGCAUGAAAUCUCUCGGCUCAACCGGGAGGGGCUGUUCGAUACUGCUGGGCUUGAGGGCAGGAGAGGGUGGUGGAAUUCCGGGUGUAGUGGUGAAAUGCGUAGAGAUCCGGAGGAACACCAGAGGCGAAGGCGGCUACCUGGCCUGCUGCUGACGCUCCAGCACGAAAGCUAGGGGAGCGAACGGG
Molecule: ribosomal RNA, 253 nt
Filed under: uncultured bacterium
Lineage: Bacteria
Description: partial 16S ribosomal RNA
Rfam family: Bacterial small subunit ribosomal RNA
Source: RNAcentral